CCUACGGGUGGCAGCAGUGAGGAAUAUUGGUCAAUGGACGAGAGUCUGAACCAGCCAAGUAGCGUGAAGGAUGACUGCCCUAUGGGUUGUAAACUUCUGUUAUAAAGGAAUAAAACGAGGCACGUGUGCCUUUUUGCAUGUACGUUAUGAAUAAGGAUCGGCUAACGCCGUGCCAGCAGCCGCGGUAAUACGGAGGAUCCGAGCGUUAUCCGGAUUGAGUGGGUUUAAAGGGAGCGUAGAUGGGUUGUUAAGUCAGUUGUGAAAGUUUGCGGCUCAACCGUAAAAUUGCAAUUGAUACUGGCAGUCUUGAGUCCAUUUGAGGUCGGCGGUAUUCUUUGUGUAGCUGU
Molecule: ribosomal RNA, 347 nt
Filed under: uncultured bacterium
Lineage: Bacteria
Description: partial 16S ribosomal RNA
Rfam family: Bacterial small subunit ribosomal RNA
Source: RNAcentral